GGGAAAUACUGAAAGCAGAAAGCAACGUAUCGACCUAGUUUAACUCCCCUUAGCCCGCUCCCUUCUGGCCGGAGCUCGUGUCCAGGAGCAGUUCCCACGUCCGUCUGUCUGUCCGCAGCUGCCUGCUCUCCGUCCCCGUCCCUUCCCCCCGCCGCCCGUCAGACAAAGGCAGAACGACACGUUACCUCAAUGAGAACCAGGAUGUUUAGGAGAAGAGAAGCA
RNAcentral lists this long non-coding RNA (222 nucleotides) under Numida meleagris (helmeted guineafowl). RNAcentral describes it as "lncRNA (ENSNMEG00000008981.1)". Lineage: Eukaryota; Metazoa; Chordata; Aves; Galliformes; Numididae. The record is from RNAcentral.